CUAAUGUACACCUACUCAUGAUCAAGGAUCUUCUCCGGCAACUCGUGAGCUGCAGGGCCAGGGAACCUUGUCCUUGCAAGUAUGUCCGCGACGUCCAAGUUCCUCAGCAGCACGUCCCCUUGCUUGCCGCCUGAAGCCAGGUGACAGCAGACGAAGCAGAAGCUCGUGUCGUGCAGCACGAACCGGAUCGAAACAGAGCCCUGCAUGCGCAAAGCAACCCACACACGCCAUCCAGGCAGCCCAUGAUGCCCGAGCCGAUGCACGACGCAUCCAGGUGACGGAUGAGCGGCCUAAGGCUGCUUCUCGCCCACACCGACGUGAAGAUGCCGACCAUCUGCUUGCUCCUGAUGCAUCUGAAGCCCUGUGAUCCCUCCACAGAGCCUUCGUCGUCCUUGGCGCUGCUGUUCGUGUUCGCCCCGCCUUCUUCUCGACACCUUCUGUUGAGCGCCUCCCCGAUCAGCGAGUUCCACUUGGCAGACACGCGGCUCUUCCUAGGACCCAGCACAUUUCUCGCGUUCAGUGGCACUAUCUCCUGGAACCUAAUUAGUAAAGCGUCAUCAGAUGAGACUGAGAGUGGUG
This 579-nucleotide unclassified non-coding RNA is filed under the name Zea mays. RNAcentral describes it as "misc RNA Zm00001eb311930". The record is from RNAcentral. Lineage: Eukaryota; Viridiplantae; Streptophyta; Magnoliopsida; Poales; Poaceae.